AUGAUUUAAAACAAACACAGAAUUCACAGAAAUGUCAUCUCCAUGUGUCAUUAUUAAAGUAGAUAUGACAAUUUUAGAAAGGUAAUGAGAACUUGCAGGAAGUGGGGUGGAUGGGUGGACACUGAAGAUAGUUGUUAGAGAUCUCCAUAGCUAUAAUGAAUGUCGGUCACUAAUAUAUCCCCUGAGAUUGAGGCAGAAGAGUCAGUUGUGAAAGUGACAGGAGACGGCAAUUUUAACAAAGUUGAUGAUCUUUGAAUUCAAUAUGAUGUGUUCAAUUGGGCUGCCUCUCCUCACUUCCAGCGUUUUCCUCCCCCUGCCACCACAAUCAGCCUGAAGAAGGGUCCCGACCUGAAACAUCACCUAUUUGCGUUCUCCAGAGAUGUUACCUGAUCGAAUUAGUUACUCCAGCACUUUGUGUCCUCUUUUGUAAACCAGCAUCUGCAGCGAUGGGAUAAUUGAACCAUUUCAUUGCUGCAAGAUUACCAGUGGAGGGAUGAGCCCAACUAUGUUCCUGGCACAGCUCUCUGCAGCAUAGGAAUUCUAGAGGAUCAAUGUAGCAAUGAGCAGUUCAAUGAAUUGAAAGCAAUUGAUUGCUGUGAUGAUGGAACAAAACUUAUGCAACCAUCUGAAUUUCAGAAGUUGCAACACGUGAAUCUCGUAGAUACAA
Molecule: long non-coding RNA, 667 nt
Organism: Amblyraja radiata (thorny skate)
Lineage: Eukaryota; Metazoa; Chordata; Chondrichthyes; Rajiformes; Rajidae
Exons: 2
Source: RefSeq, a predicted model, not a curated record